CAGCGCCACGAGUGGCAACCGCGAUUAUUGGGCCUAAAGCGUCCGUAGCCGGGUUGAUAAAUCCUCUGUGAAAUUGUACGGCUUAACCGUACAACGUGCAAGGGACACUGUCGACCUCGAGACCGGGAGGAGUCAGAAGUAUUCCAGAGGGAGCGGUAAAAUGUUAUAAUCUCUGGAGGACUACCUGUGGCGAAGGCGUCUGACCAGAACGGAUCUGACGGUGAGGGACGAAAGCCAGGGGAGCGAACCGGAUUAGAGACCCGAGUAGUCC
RNAcentral lists this ribosomal RNA (271 nucleotides) under uncultured archaeon. RNAcentral describes it as "partial 16S ribosomal RNA". It matches the Rfam family "Archaeal small subunit ribosomal RNA", at positions 477 to 747 of the family's 1478-position model. The record is from RNAcentral.